CCUACGGGCGGCUGCAGUGGGGAAUAUUGGACAAUGGGGGGAACCCUGAUCCAGCCAUGCCGCGUGUGUGAAGAAGGCCCUCGGGUUGUAAAGCACUUUCAGUGAGGAAGAACGCCUGGUGGUUAAUACCCAUCAGGAAAGACAUCACUCACAGAAGAAGCACCGGCUAACUCCGUGCCAGCAGCCGCGGUAAUACGGAGGGUGCGAGCGUUAAUCGGAAUUACUGGGCGUAAAGCGCGCGUAGGUGGCUUGAUAAGCCGGUUGUGAAAGCCCCGGGCUCAACCCGGGAACGGCAUCCGGAACUGUCAAGCUAGAGUGCAGGAGAGGAAGGUAGAAUUCCCGGUGUAGCGGUGAAAUGCGUAGAGAUCGGGAGGAAUACCAGUGGCGAAGGCGGCCUUCUGGACUGACACUGACACUGAGGUGCGAAAGCGUGGGUAGCAAACAGGAUUAGAUACCCGGGUAGUC
This 465-nucleotide ribosomal RNA is filed under the name Vreelandella stevensii. Its description in RNAcentral is "partial 16S ribosomal RNA". It matches the Rfam family "Bacterial small subunit ribosomal RNA", at positions 338 to 795 of the family's 1533-position model. The record is from RNAcentral. Lineage: Bacteria; Pseudomonadati; Pseudomonadota; Gammaproteobacteria; Oceanospirillales; Halomonadaceae.